CAUGAAAAGUUGUUUACGCACCA
Molecule: non-coding RNA, 23 nt
Filed under: Arabidopsis thaliana (thale cress)
Lineage: Eukaryota; Viridiplantae; Streptophyta; Magnoliopsida; Brassicales; Brassicaceae
Source: RNAcentral